This 357-nucleotide transfer RNA is filed under the name uncultured Microcystis sp. Its description in RNAcentral is "partial 16S-23S ribosomal RNA intergenic spacer". The stretch from base 133 to 206 matches the Rfam family "tRNA". The record is from RNAcentral. Lineage: Bacteria; Bacillati; Cyanobacteriota; Cyanophyceae; Chroococcales; Microcystaceae.
AAGGGAGACCUAAUUCGGGUAGAAGACGAAAAAAUAGUAGUCGAAACCAAGAAUCAAUCCCAAAAGGUCGGAACGAGGUAUGUGGCUUUCAAACUAGGUUCUGGGUUCACAAAAGACCUGAAUCAGGAACAAGGGCUAUUAGCUCAGGUGGUUAGAGCGCACCCCUGAUAAGGGUGAGGUCCCUGGUUCGAGUCCAGGAUGGCCCACCUGCACAGGUGGCGAAAACAAGAGAAACGAGGAAUCAGCACCUUAUCUUACUUACAUAGUAAGAGAGAAUGCUGGCUCUGAGUAAAGAGUCCAGAGGAACCUUGAAAACUGCAUAGAGCUAGGUGAAAAAGCCAAAAAAGAAGACCGCAA